RNAcentral lists this ribosomal RNA (253 nucleotides) under uncultured bacterium. Its description in RNAcentral is "partial 16S ribosomal RNA". It matches the Rfam family "Bacterial small subunit ribosomal RNA", at positions 524 to 776 of the family's 1533-position model. The record is from RNAcentral.
CACGUAGGGGGCGAGCGUUGUCCGGAAUUACUGGGCGUAAAGGGCGCGUAGGCGGUUAGUCGUGUCAGGUGUGAAAGGCCAGGGCUCAACCCUGGACUUGCACUUGAAACUGGCUAACUUGAGGGCAGGAGAGGCAGGUGGAAUUCCUGGUGUAGCGGUGAAAUGCGUAGAUAUCAGGAGGAACACCGGUGGCGAAGGCGACCUGCUGGACUGGCCCUGACGCUGAGGCGCGAAAGCGUGGGGAGCAAACAGG